AAAAAAUAUGGCAAAGAUGGAUGUGCUGAUGUGACAACAAGACAGAAUUGGCAAAUUCGAGGUGUAACAUUACCUGAUGUCCCUGAAAUUCUUAAGGGCCUUGCAGAGGUUGGCUUGACAAGUCUGCAGAGUGGAAUGGACAAUGUUAGAAACCCUGUUGGUAACCCUCUUGCUGGUAUUGAUCCUGAUGAGAUUGUUGAUACAAGACCUUACACCAAUUUGUUGUCCCAAUUCAUCACUGCUAAUUCACUUGGUAAUCCAACCAUUACAAACUUGUAAGUCUACACUUUCUCGUCUUCAAAUUUCACUCAUAAUAUCACAUGAACAUUUUAUGUUUAUCUCUUUAUAAAUAUAAAUAAAUGAGUAUAAAAUCCAUUUACUUGCAUUGCAAGC
RNAcentral lists this long non-coding RNA (393 nucleotides) under Medicago truncatula (barrel medic). Its description in RNAcentral is "long non-coding RNA (MTRU_LNC002135)". Lineage: Eukaryota; Viridiplantae; Streptophyta; Magnoliopsida; Fabales; Fabaceae. The record is from RNAcentral.